GACGGAGGAUGCAAGUGUUAUCCCGAAUCACUGGGCGUAAAGCGUCUGUAGGUGGUUUAAUAAGUCAACUGUUAAAUCUUGAGGCUCAACCUCAAAAUCGCAGUCGAAACUAUUAGGCUAGAGUAUAGUAGGGGUAAAGGGAAUUUCCAGUGGAGCGGUGAAAUGCGUAGAGAUUGGAAAGAACACCGAUGGCGAAGGCACUUUACUGGGCUAUUACUAACACUCAGAGACGAAAGCUAGGGUAGCAAAUGGG
This 253-nucleotide ribosomal RNA is filed under the name uncultured bacterium. Its description in RNAcentral is "partial 16S ribosomal RNA". It matches the Rfam family "Bacterial small subunit ribosomal RNA", at positions 524 to 776 of the family's 1533-position model. The record is from RNAcentral.